Molecule: long non-coding RNA, 850 nt
Organism: Cyprinus carpio carpio
Lineage: Eukaryota; Metazoa; Chordata; Actinopteri; Cypriniformes; Cyprinidae
Source: Ensembl
CUUACACACAGAUCUCUGUCUCUUUGCGUUUAUGGGCUGCAAGAACUGUUGACGAUACGCUUCUAAAUUACUGGAGUCUAUUAUACACUGCAAAUAUCCCAUAAUGUGUUGUGGGUGUUUGAAUUGGCUUUGAAUGGAAACCCAAGCGUGACUCGGCUCGCCGCAGACUGCAGAGCUCAACGCCGCCUUAAACAAUGCCAUUCUCACCCUCGUAUGAGCCCAAACCUGUACGCUUUCCUUUCAUUCGUGGCACACAACAGGAGGUUUAGUGUUCUCCUUUUGUUUGUGUAGGCGCCCCAUAAACCUAAUGCCUGUUUCUCACUUAUGGGCUCUCUUCCAAAACCUGGUGCGCUGCCCACAUACUCCUGAUCCUGCUAAAGAAGAAGGAACGUCAUACAGGUUUGGAACAGCAUGAGGUGAAAUCACCCCCAGCAGUAACUUUGAACUUCUCCUCUUGUGUACAGCAUCGCAUGGGAGACGGAUCACAUGAUCAUUAGUGUCUUCACUCUGAUUGCAUCAUCACUUAUUUGCAUAAGCAUAAAUACGGCCGUCUACAGGGAGCCACGCCUGAACUCCUGAUGUUUCUCCAUCUGUUUAAAGAUCUACGGGAGCUUCAGCCUUCGGUGCGCUCGCAUGUGUCUCUGCUUCUCGCUGCGAGUUUACCUGCGAGGGAAGAAACACAUCAGCGACGGUGUCAUUAACUGCUCAAGAGCACAAGACUGAUAUGGAAAGGUAGCUUAUGGUGUUUGUUCCUCUAUUAAAAACUCCUCCAGAUGGGGAAGGAACCCGAGACUGUCAUUUACCUCCUCUUCGCGCCUUCAUUAGUGUCUUGCGCAGGAUUUUGGAAGGC